AGAGAGAGAGAGAGAGAGGUACCGUCUCAACCGUGUCCAGGAUGAGUGUGUUCUUGUAAGAGGUCUUCUGGUUAAAUUUAAAAGAGGGAUUUUUUUAAAGUUUUGCGCCCAAAUGAGCCUAUAUCUGUCGCAUCUUAGUUUCUCUGAUUGAACUGAAGGUAGUACAAAAAUGGCCACUGAAAGUUCAUUUCUACUUGAUGCUUGAUGUAUGUGUUGGAGUUGGGCUGAUGGUUCCAUUGUUUCAUUGAUUCCAGUUUGGCUAAACUGUGUUUUUCUUUAUCUUUGGUGUAGAAAGAAGAUCCCUGUUUCUGGUUAUGAUGUCUCGGCAGAGUCAGUUAUUUACAUUGCUUAAGAGAAGGUUUCAUUCCCCGUCUAGUGAUGCCCCAACGGAGACCUUAAGAAAGAAGAUAGCCGAUUUGCAAAAGAGUAAGAAGCGAAGGAACCCAAUAAAGAACCAGUUUCUAGUUGAGGUUCCAGAAUCAAGAUCGUAUUUGGACACUGCAACGAUGCCUAUGUUCCUCGCUGUGGUCGGUAUCGCAUUGUUUGCAAAGGUGUUAAUGAUGGUAAGUAGUAAGCGUUCUUCUACCAUCUCUUUCUUGUCAAUGAUUUGAGUAGCUAUUAAGCAGAUGUGCCCUCGUUGCUCUAUGCCUACUUUGCAAUAUAUGUAGUUUAAAAUAAAAUCUGAGGAAAUUGCUGAUUUUCAUUGUUGGUUUGUUGCCAGAUUGAUGAUUCGAAAUCCCAAGAAAUGAUUGAACGCAAGAUAAAGAAUGCACCACCGGGACAAGGCACAGUGCGGAUAAUUGAGCGUGAGGAGUGGGAUGAGUUUAGAGAAGUAAGGCCAAGAACACCUUUUGAGUCCAAGCUUGCUCGCCCAAAUGCACAAAUAAGAACUGGAGAACCUGUGCGCAAGGUAAACACUUCUAUUCAAUCAUCAACCCUUACUGUAUUUUCCUAAAUCGUAUCCUCAUUCGAUAAUCAGACUUUUUGCUUGUUUCCUUUUUCAUCAGGAUGACUUGACGAACUGGACAAUAGACGUGCUAACAAACGCACUGGAACGAACCGAAGAAAGUGUUCGCCGCAGAUCCAGUUAGAUUUUCAUGAGUUCUCCUCAAUUCAAUGGGAGCUUCCUAGUUAAUAUACAUACUAGAUAAAUUACCCGCACUAUGUGCGGGAUGAAAUGACAAUUAAAGAAGUGCAUUGUAGUUUUAGUUAUAAAAAUUAUUGUAUUAUUAUCCGAAAUCCAAAAUCUGUUAGUGUAUUAUGAAACAUGUUAAAAAAACGUUUUAUAUUCCAAUCAUCGAUUUUUCGUAUCGGAAUUCGUUUUACCCGUAAAUUAAUUAAAGACGACAAUUUCUUUUCUAACGUAACUUAAAUAACAAACACAUAUACAUCUUUGUAAAAGAGUUGAUGAAGAUUUACAAAAUUUAGAUUGCUCGAAAACUAAGAAGAUGUGUGUUUGGUAAAUUUGAGAGGAUGAAGAUGAUAUCAGGGAAUAUAUUUAUAGAGAAAUAUUUUUGUAGGGUUCCGUUUAAUUUUUGAAAUUUGGAUUGCCUUCAAAAUUUGAAAAAUUAAUUUAUUGUUGAUUUUAUGAUAGAUUUAGUUUUGAGAAUUAAUUUUAUAAAUGUAGUUUGGAUUUAUGAACCUAGGAAAAUUUGUACUUACAAAAGUUAUAAAAUAUAUUCUAAUAUAUUAAUUUACAUGAAUUAUAGGCUUACAUGUUUGAGUUGUUAAAUAUAUCUAUAUAUAUAUAUAUAUAUAUAUGUGUUAGUCUGGAUUUAAAAAUAUAGACCUUAGAUCAAUUUAAUAUAUAUACAUAUACACGAAUUCUUUAUGUAUAGAUAGAGAUAUGAUGUUUGUAUUACUGAUGUUUAAUGUUAAUUAACGAAUUAAUUAGAAUAUCAUGGCACAUUUGUAACUAAUCUAGUAAUAUAUAGAUCAUUAGUUUGCUCGAUUUAUGAAAUAAAAAAUGUUUGUUUGAUUUUAAGUUUAAGCUUGGACGUAGCAUGUCUUAAAUUUUAAUAUUAGAUAAUACAGAUUUGUUAUUUGUUAUGCAUAUAUAGAAAAAAUGUAACAUUUGUUUUGUGUUUGCUAAUAUAGAAAUAAUAAAGUUUGUCUCGUAUACAUUGUGUGUUUUUUUAAUUUUUAAUUAGAAAUUCGUUUUUGAUUAGUGGGAUAUAUAGAUACAUGAGACUAAUGACAAAUUCUGUAAAUAGUCUAAUAAAUCCUGGGUAAUUAUCUAAAUAGAAGCCAAAUCAUUAUAAGAGCGACACAUCAGCGUGGCAAUCUUGUUAAUAACACAUGAUGGUAAGGUUUUUUUAAAAAAAUAUUUCUCUAUUAAUAUAUAGGGGAUAUAUCUUCAAAAUCUAAUAAUAGUGAAGAACACUCUCCGCCAUUUUCCUAAGCGAACAUAGGCAUCAUUACUUCAUUAGGACACUAGAGAUAAGAGCACAAGCCGUCUUGUAACGGAGAAAUCUUGGAAAUGGAGAUAUGAAUAUUUUUACUUUGUUUUGGAACUGCUUUAUGUAUUCAUCUGUGUUUAACUCGCACACAUUUUCAUCAAAAUCAUUUCAAAGGGUUUGAUUGGUAACUAGGACUCCUUACCGAUCGGUUAAGGGUGUACCGUUUAGUAUUUAACAAUCGCAAAAUUGGAACCGCUAUUUCUUGUCCAUUACCUUUUAACAGUCUUCUAAAAUACGCUAGACGGUAGUCGGGCGGUGGAUCACCGUAUAGCGCCUAACUGUAUAUGCGGAGUAUAUACGGUGAAUAUAUAUUUUUUAAUAUAUAUAUAUAUAUAUAUAUAUAUAUAUAAUAUAAAUAUAUUGCAAAUGGAAUAUAUAUAAUAUCAUAAAAAAACAAUUGUCAAAAAAAAUAAAAGGAGUCUCACGUUAAACUCCAACUCUCAAAAAAAUGAAAACAUAAUGACAACCGUAUUUAGAUAUGCAGCACCAUAUAAGUGGCCAUAUUGAGCCGUAUAACGCCUUAUAAUGGCCGUAUUGAGCCGUAUAACGCCGUAUAAUGGCCGUAUUGAGCCGUAUAGCGCCGUGUAAGUGGCCGUAUUGAACCCAACCGUAUUUGUUAAACGCAUAGCCUAAAAACUGUACAGUUGUCUGCCGUAUAGCGUAUAGCUACCGUAUAUACGGCCGCCUAGGGUGUAUUUUAGAACAUUGUCUUUUAAGUAUUUUAGUAUCGCUUACCGUUUCGUUGAUUGAAAUAUACUCCCUCUGUUUCACAAAAAGUGUCAUUUUAGAGUUUUGCACACAGAUUAAGAAAACAUUAAAUUUUUUGUUUUUUCAAAACAAAAACAUCAUUAACUAUAUACCUAAACAUAAUCUGCCCAAUAGUAAAACAAUCUGCAGAAUACUAAUAGUCAUAAAACAUAAAAAAUCAUUAAAUUUUGCAUUGAAAACCUAAAACGACACUCUUUAUGAAACAAAAAUAAAACCUUAAAACGACACUCUUUAUAAAACGGAGGGAGUAGCGUUUUGAGAAAAUAGACGUUUCUGGUUGCUUCUGAUUUGAAAAAUCGUCGUUUUCACAAUAUUCAAUUGGAGAAUCUUAAGAACUUCAACGAAGCAGCUUCUCCGGAAUUUUAGGCAAACGUGGCAAGAAAAAGCCAAACGGAGAAACAUACACGUGUCCCUCCAUUUACCAAAUGCCACGUGCCCAUUACCGACGAAACAUUCCUUAACCACAGCUGCCCGAAAAAGGACAGAGUCCACAAGCUUCGGAUUGUUCACAAGUAACAUCGAAAAGGUUUAAACUUUCUCGUUUUUUCCUGGAACCCGAUUCGAAGAAAGCAUCAAGACACUUCCUUUCACUGAUCCCUCGAUCCAUUCGUAGGUAAACCAUUUCCAAAACCAUUUUUUUCGAUCCCUCAACUUUGGAUUUUGUUGUGAUCUACCGGUUUUGCUUUUGCCCGAUCGAUCAUCGGAUCACUGUGAUUAGUGUUAUUGUUCCUUUCUUUGUGUAGCUUUCGCUCUUAUGGAAGAUUCUGGAGUGAAUCCAAUGGAUUCACCGUCUAAAGGCAGUGGAUUUGGAGUUUAUGGAAUCAUAGGAGGUGGAAUUGUGGCUUUACUUGUACCAGUGUUACUCUCUGUGGUGUUGAAUGGAAGCAAAAAGGGUAAAAAGAGAGGUGUUCCGAUCAAAGUAGGCGGCGAGGAAGGUUACACGAUGCGUCAUGCUCGUGCUCCUGAUUUGGUUGAUGUUCCUUGGGAAGGAGCUACUACUAUGCCUGCUUUGUUUGAGCAGUCUUGUAAGAAGUAUUCGAAAGAUCGGUUACUUGGGACUAGAGAGUUUAUAGAUAGGGAAUUUGUAACUGCUAGUGAUGGGAGGAAGUUUGAGAAGCUUCAUUUAGGAGAGUAUAAAUGGCAAAGUUAUGGAGAGGUUUUUGAACGUGUUUGUAACUUUGCGUCGGGGUUAGUUAAUGUCGGACAUAAUGUUGAUGAUCGUGUUGCUAUCUUUUCGGAUACUCGAGCUGAGUGGUUUAUCGCGUUUCAGGUUUGUUUAUUAGCUAAUGGUUGCAAUUUGUUUUUGUGGGUUUGGUUUGUAUUUGUUUGAUGAAAUGGGUUUUAUUGUUGCAAAAUUUCAGGGAUGUUUCAGGCAGAGCAUAACCGUUGUUACUAUAUAUGCUUCUUUAGGAGAAGAGGCUUUGAUUUACUCACUCAAUGAGGUUGGUAGGGGAAGUUUUGUAUGUUUAUGUUUUUUAUUAGUAAACUUGGUUGUUGGACCUCUGAAUCUUGGUAUCUUAUUGUUGACAGACUCGAGUAUCAACCUUGAUAUGCGACUCGAAACAACUUAAGAAGUUGUCUGCAAUACAAUCAAGCUUGAAAACUGUGAAGAAUAUUAUUUACAUUGAAGAAGAUGGAGUAGAUGUUACUUCUAGUGACUUAAAUAGUAUGGGUGACAUCACUGUUUCGUCGAUCUCUGAAGUUGAGAAACUGGGGCAGAAGAACCAUGUUCCACCGAUCUUACCUUCGAAGAAUGGAGUUGCUGUUAUAAUGUUUACCAGUGGUAGUACCGGUCUACCAAAGGUAUGUGUUGGACUGUGUCUACUCUCUUCUUUAUGUGUUUUGUUUACCUGAAUUCUUGAUUGAUGUACCUUACAUUGUGUGCAUUCACACAGGGAGUUAUGAUUACCCACGGAAAUCUUGUCGCAACUGCUGCAGGAGUUAUGAAGGUGGUUCCAAAGCUGGAUAAGAAUGAUACAUAUAUUGCAUACUUACCUUUGGCUCAUGUGUUUGAGCUGGAAGCUGAGGUAUGUUGCUAUGCUCUCUCUCACUCUCCAUGUCUCUCUUAUUUUAAUUGCUACCUUGUUGUCUUGCUCUUUCUUACCAAAUCAUGGUUUUUCAGAUUGUGGUCUUUACCUCAGGUAGUGCCAUCGGUUACGGCUCAGCAAUGACUUUAACUGACACUUCAAAUAAAAUUAAGAAAGGAACCAAAGGAGAUGUUUCAGCUCUGAAGCCAACUAUAAUGACUGCAGUUCCAGCUAUUCUGGAUCGUGUCCGAGAAGGAGUUCUUAAAAAGGUACCAUCUUAGCGACGACAAUGUUGUGUGUAUUUUUGGACUUACUUACUUGAUCACUUAUAUCUGUGUAUGUAAUAAUCUAGGUUGAGGAAAAGGGAGGGAUGGCGAAGACCCUUUUUGACUUUGCAUACAAGCGCCGGUUAGCAGCUGUGGAUGGAAGUUGGUUUGGUGCCUGGGGUUUGGAGAAAAUGUUUUGGGAUACUCUUGUCUUCAAGAAAAUACGCGCUGUGCUUGGAGGACACAUCCGAUUUAUGCUCUGUGGAGGAGCUCCUCUAUCUCCUGAUUCGCAACGCUUCAUCAAUAUCUGCAUGGGGUAAAGUGGUCUCACAUCUGACAUUUUCAUAUGAGUCUUGUCCCAUUUUGGCUUAGGCAAACGCCAUUAAAAUCAAAUGGAUUCUGUGUUACUUAUUAGUGAUGUUUUGAUAUGUUUGAACUUGAACCCACUGUCUUUUGCUUGGUGAAACUCAUCUGGUCUGUUUUUUUUCUGUAUUCUUCUUUGCAACUUCACAAUGCUUGGGCUUAGUUUGUUCUGAUAGUGAUUGCGCAUUGUUUUCUGUUAGGUCUCCCAUCGGCCAAGGAUAUGGAUUGACUGAAACAUGUGCUGGAGCUACGUUUUCUGAGUGGGACGAUCCUGCUGUUGGCCGUGUGGGACCUCCACUUCCAUGCGGCUAUGUUAAGGUUUGCAGACAAUCUUUAACACAACACUUUGAAAAUGUGUAAAUUUGUUGUAAUCAUGAGUAACAAAUUUCAUCUUGCAGCUCGUUUCUUGGGAAGAAGGUGGCUACAGAAUUUCAGACAAACCAAUGCCCAGAGGGGAGAUUGUGGUAGGUGGUAACAGUGUAACAGCAGGUUACUUCAACAAUCAAGAAAAAACCGAUGAGGUUUACAAGGUAAAUCACAUUCAGGGAGCUUAAUUGAUCCGCUUGGUAUAUAGAUUUCUGAGGAUCCAUGUGACAAUUUCAGGUCGAUGAGAAGGGCACGAGGUGGUUUUACACCGGAGAUAUUGGGAGAUUCCACCCUGAUGGAUGUCUCGAAGUCAUCGACAGAAAGAAAGAUAUUGUUAAACUUCAACAUGGGGAAUACGUAUCCCUUGGAAAGGUUUGCCCAUAAAACUUAAAUUCCACAUAGAGGAUGGUAUAUGAUAAAAUCUCCUCAUGCUUUUGCAUUGUCUGGAUCACACAAUUCACAGGUGGAGGCAGCUUUGGGUUCGAGCAAUUACGUUGAUAACAUCAUGGUUCACGCGGACCCAAUGAACAGCUACUGUGUAGCUCUUGUUGUUCCAUCACGAGGAGCGUUAGAGAAAUGGGCAGAGGAAGCAGGAGUUAAACACAGUGAAUUCGCUGAGCUAUGCGAGAACAGUGAAGCAGUCAAGGAGGUUCAACAAUCUCUUACCAAGGUUUGUAUUUUCAAUAGCUGUCUCAGGUUUUUCAGUUACUUCUGGUAGGUAUAUGUUUUCCAAAACUGUUAUUAUUUCAGGCCGGAAAGGCGGCAAAGCUCGAAAAGUUUGAACUUCCAGCAAAGAUCAAGUUGCUGCCGGAGCCGUGGACACCGGAGUCGGGAUUGGUCACAGCUGCUCUUAAGAUAAAGAGGGAACAAAUAAAGUCCAAGUUCAAAGAUGAUCUCAACAAGUUGUAUGCCUAAAAACUUUUCUUGGACUUGUGACAAACUCCAUAUACUUCAGUUUGACUUUCCUCAUUUUGUUAUUAUCUACAUUAAACUUGGAGUUUUUCUCCUUUUGUUAAUUCAAUAUCUAUAUGAUUCCACUUCCAUCAGCUAUAGAAGAGAGUAAAUCAUUGUGGUAUAUAAGGAGCUGAAGUAGUUUGCUCUUGUAGAAGCAAAUCAAAGCAAUGACUAAUUUUAUCGCGGUUUUGUUGAUUAUUCGAAAAGUAGACAGUUUUUUAGCUUCGAGGGAUCGAAAAACCUCCUUUAGGUAAAACUUCUAUACUUUCUUAACCAUAAGAAAUUCUCUGUAUACAAAGGUACAAAUGAAAUCCUCCUUAUGAUUGUGACGUUGGUGGUUUAUCAUGUUUGAUAAUGUCAUCAUCAGCAGAAACUUGAUGGUCUCUGGAAAACCUUCGUCGGUUUUCUGGACAAUCCAUGAAAAUCGUUUCGUCAUCGAGCGUUGAUGUUACUAUUCAUUUGGGUCAGAUGAUGCAGAAUCUUUGGGAGCUAUUAUCGUCUCUGACACUGCUGGUCGUAGGAGAAGAUACAAAGAAGGUCCCAAGAAUGGAAUCACCGAUACCGGUAAAAGCCAAAUGCCUUUAUCAAACCUGAUAAAGAAGCAGUGCGUUUAGAGAUAUGGAAAAGGUUGAGUUAAACACUGUCAAAUAGUUUUACAUAGAACUCACCAUUUUCGGGUGGUCAUGUCGUUGUAAACCCAAAACGGAGCGAAUGCAGACAGUAAACAGAAAUCAAGACUCGUUACAUGAAUCUGCAUUUUAGAAUGUUAAGUCCUGUUAUGUCAACAAGACUAGCAAGAACAUGAGUUCAUUUCUGGAAAAAAGGAGAAUAUCGGGCUUACGAAUUUGCUCUCUCGAAAGUACUGAUAGAACUCUGUCCAAUCACCGGCAUUACCAACUACUGAAUAAAGAAUUAUACCCAGUCCUGCAACAAGAGUUACCUGAUGUAUAAACUGUGUUAACUCCAAUAACCAAAAACCAAAGGCGAGAGACACUUUGCUUUUUUCUUCUAGUUCAGUGAUAACACAUCAAGAUUUAGAGAAGUGAGAGUGAGAAAGAUCUCUUACCCCAGCAGUUGCUUUUGAUUCCAGAACAUUCAAAGGCCAUUGUCUCAGUUCAGUCUCUGAAACAGGAGGAGAAGGAGGAUUCCACAGUGCAAAAUAAGGUAACAAAGCGUAUACACCACCGAAAAACGAAAGCACGACAAAAGGCCAAGCCGGAGUUUUACUGUCGAACAAAGGCAUCUAUUAGUGUUCCUAAAAGAGCUUCACUUGAACAAACUCUAAUAUGGUAAACUCUCUAAAGAGGACAAUGGAGAUGAUACCUUCGAGCAGUGGGAAGCAAGAGCAUGCCAUAAACCAAAGGCCACAAACCCAUAAUGUACCAUAACCCAACAAGGAUCUGAUUCAUUCUAAAACCAUCAUCACCUUUCAAAUUCAAAAGCUUUUUCAAAAAGUACAAGUCUUGUGUCUGCAAUGAAAAACCUAAGAUUGUGAUUGCAAAAACCACACAUUUACGAGAUUUGACUAAUAAGUAUGUGAAGAUGCGUACCGGUGUUUGAUCAGGAGCGAGAUUGAAGCAAUAGUACAAAAGCGCACCCCAUAACGCAAAAAGCAAAAUUGAGCUUGACCAAUCUCUUCCUUCUUCUUGAAUUUGAGUUUUCUCUGGUUCUUCUGGGUUGUUUAAAGAGCUUUUGCAGAUAUGGAAGAAUGUGUCUUUCCUCGAGAAACGGUGAUUGUGAUGGAGAAUUUUAUCGGAUUUUAGAAAAGUUGAAGAAGAAGAAGCUCGUGAUUGUAGAAGAAGGAGGUUUUUUGGGGAUUGUCUUAAGGAUUGGUGUGGUCUCGAGGGUUUAAGAAGAAGAGGAAGACGAGAGAAGUUGCAGGAGAUGAGGUUAAUGCUUUCCAACAUUUUUCUUUCUCUUCCUCUUUUUUUGUCAAUAUUUGUUUUAGACCACCAAAAAAAAAAAAAAAAAGGAAAGUGUUAUAAUAAUUACUUUAUUAUAUGGUGUAUAUAAAUAUAAAUAAUAGAGAAAGAAUUAUACCUGUAGAAGGAUCGGGAUACUGAAAAUAAAAAGAUGAGAGGAGGAGAGAGAGUUCUUAUAACUUCUUAUUGUUGAAGUAUGAAAUGUGAUUUACAACGAACGAAUUCGUUCGUUUAUAUAGGCAGGAAAAAGUAAGUUACUAUGCAUGCAUAGUGACGGUAGGCUCCACACAAAUUAUAUUUUAAUCUUAAUCUUUUGAACGCGUAGUGUCUAUUGUUGACGCUGUAUUUUUCUGACUUUUGUAACACUCCCCCUUGGAGACCAGUGUCACUAUGUCUCUUGCGUAAUAUCUUCUGUUGUCUCGUUAAAAACCUUUCUAGGAAAACCCGGUGGGAAAAACCAUAGUAGGUAAAAAGAGUGCAACCGCGCAAGCUCCCCCUCGAAUGAUCAGGAUCAUAACUUACAAGUCUUGUUGACGACGCAUUCCAAUGUUAUGAACAUGUUUCCUGAAUAUAGAGGUGGGUAAUGAUUUCGUGAAGAGAUCCGCAGAAUUCUCGGAUGAUCGGACAUAUCUUACUUCAAUGUCUUUAUUCUUCACGAGCUCUUGGGUGUAUGAAAAGAACUUAGGAGGGAUAUGUUUGGUUCUAUCGCUUUUGAUAUAUCCUUCCUUUGUCUGAGCAACACAUGCAGCAUUGUCUUCAUACAAGAUAGUUGGCUCCGUAUUCAGACGAAUUCCACUACUCGUUUGAAUGUGUCGACUUAUUGAUCGUAGCCACACGCAUUCUCUACUCGCUUCAUGGAGUGCGAUGAUUUCAGCAUGAUUUGAAGAAGUAGCUACAAGUGUCUGCUUCUGAGAACGCCAUGAUAUAGCAGUACCUCCAAUCGUGAAUACGUAUCCUGUUUGGGAUCGAGCUUUGUGUGGAUCUGAUAAAUAUCCUGCAUCUGCAAAACCAAUCAUUUGACCAUUUAUAUUUUUAGGAUAAAAUAACCCUAAAUCAAUAGUCCCUUGAAGAUAACGAAAGACAUGUUUAAUUCCGUUCCAAUGUCUUCGUGUAGGAGAUGAACUAAAUCUAGCCAAAAGAUUGACUGAAAAUGAUAUAUCAGGUCGAGUGCAAUUUGCAAGAUACAUAAGGGCUCCAAUUGCACUUAGAUACGGUACUUCAGGACCGAGUAUCUCUUCAUUCUCCUCAUGCGGUCGAAAUGGAUCACUUUCAACGUUAAGUGAUCUAACGACCAUAGGAGUACUCAGAGGAGUUGCCUUAUCCAUGUUGAAUCGUUUUAGCACUCUUUUAGUAUACGUGGAUUGGUGCACAAAUAUACCCUUUUGGGAAUGUUCAAUUUGUAGGCCAAGACAAAACUUUGUUUGUCCGAGAUCUUUCAUCUCGAAUUCCCCUUUUAAAUAGUUUGUUGCUUUCUGUAUUUCAUCUUGAGUCCCAAUUAUAUUUAGAUCAUCAACAUAUACUGCGAUUAUCACAAAUCCGGAUUUUGUUUUCUUGAUGAAAACACAUGGGCAUAUAGGAUCGUUCACAUAUCUUUCUUUCGUUAAAUGUUCACUGAGACGAUUAUACCACAUUCGCCCAGAUUGCUUUAACCCAUAAAAUGAUCUUUGCAACUUUAUUGCACAUAACUCUUUGGGUUUAGAUUUCAAUGCUUCUGGCAUAUUAAACCCGUCGGGAACUCUCAUAUAGAUAUCUGUAUCUAAUGAUCCAUACAAAUAUGCUGUAACAACAUCCAUGAGACGCAUUUCUUAAUUUUUAUGAGCCGCUAGACUCAUCAAGAAUCUAAACGUUAUUGCAUCCAUAACGGGGGAAUAUGUUUCCUCAUAAUCAAUCCCGGGUCUUUGAGAAAAUCCUUGAGCUACGAGACGAGCCUUGUAUCUCGUAAUUUCAUUUUUCUCAUUUCGUUUUCUAACGAAAACCCACUUGUAUCCAACCGGUCUCACAUCUUCAGGUGUGAGUAUAAUAGGUCCGAAUACAUUUCGCUUAUUAAGUGAAUCAAGUUCGACUUGGAUGGCAUCCUUCCAUUUUAUCCAGUCGUGUCUCUUUUGACAUUCAUAUACAGACUGUGGUUCUGGAUCUUCGUUUUCCUCAUUUAUUUCUUUUGCUACGAGGUAUGAGAAAACGUCAUCGACUUCAUCCAUUUUAUUUCGAUCCCAGAUCUUUCCAUUAUGGAUAUAGUUGAUAGAAAUCUCAUGAUUUCCUUCAGGCUCAUGAUGCUCAUCAUUGUCAUUAGACUCAUGAUUCGUUUCUUCCAAAAUGCUUUCUGCUAUUUUGGGAAUAUCGAGCUUUUCAGCUUCCUUUCGCUUUCUAGGAUUUUUAUCCUUAGAACCAACUGGUCUACCACGCUUCAGGCGUGUUCUAGACUCACGUGUAUCGUCUCCUUUUCCAUGUUCUUGUGGAAUUUCAAUCCAAGCAGGAACAUUUGCAGCUGGAAUAUGUGAUUUAGUUAUCGUUUUAGUAUCUGCAAAAGCAUCAGGUAAUUGAUUUGCUAUACUUUGUAAAUGCAUAAUUCGUCGAACUUCCAGUUCCGACUGUUUCGUAGGAGGAUCGAGAUGUAACAAAGAUGGUACACUCCACUUUAUAUUCUUUCCUACUUGUUUGUUUUCUCCCCUAGAACUGGGAACUCUUUUUAUCAAAAUGACAGUCAGCAAAGCGUGCCGUAAAGAGGUCACCAGUUCGAGGUUCUAAAUACCUUAUAAUAGAUGGAGAAUCAUAACCCACAUAUAUCCCUAACCUUCGUUGGGGUCCCAUCUUUGUACGUUGUGGCGGUGCUACAGGCACAUAUACCGCACAACCGAAAAUCUUUAGAUGAGAAAUAUUUGGUUCAUGACCAAAUACUAGUUGUAAUGGGGAAUAUUUAUGAUAUGCACUUGGUCUCAUUCGGAUAAGUGCUUCAGCAUGCAAAAUAGCGUGUCCCCAUACAGAGGUUGGGAGUUUUGAUCUCAUGAUCAAUGGUCUUGCAAUUAAUUGCAGGCGUUUAAUUAAAGAUUCAGCCAAACCAUUUUGUGUGUGAACAUGAGCUACAGGAUGUUCUACUUCAAUUCCCGUUACUAUACAAUAAUCAUUAAAAGCUUGGGAUGUGAAUUCACCAGCGUUGUCUAGUCUAACUCUUUUAAUAGGGUAAUCAGAAAACUGAGCCCUCAGUUUGAUUAUUUGAGUUAGAAAUCUCGCAAAUGCAAUAUUUCGAGAUGAUAAUAGACAAACAUGUGACCAUCUGCUGGAUGCGUCAAUUAAUACCAUGAAAUAGUGGAAUGGUCCACAUGGUGGAUGUAUUGGUCCACAAAUAUCUCCUUGAAUUCGUUCAAGGAAUUUUGGUGAUUCUUUAUCAAUUUUGGCUGGCGAUGGCCUUAUGAUAAGUUUUCCAAGAGAACAUGCAGCACAUGUCUUUUUAUUCCCAUGAUAUAUCUCCUGGAUUUUCAAUGGGUGUCUAUGUGAGCUCUCUAUGAUUUUUCGCAUCAUCGAGGUGCCUGGAUGACCGAGGCGAUCAUGCCAUAAUGUGAAAUCUUCUGGAUUUCUUUUAAUCACUAGAUGCGAUUCGAUUGCACUUAUAUGAGUAUAAUGCAAUCCUGAAGGAAGUUUUGGAAAUUUUUCCAAUAUAAGCCUUUUUCCCGAUUUAUCAGAAGUUAUGUACAUAUACUUCUUUUCAUUCUCAGUUGCAGACUGAGUAUCAUAUCCUUGAAGGUAUAUGUCUUUGAAACUCAACAAAUUCCUUUUAGAUUUUGGAGAAUACAAGGCAUUUUUUAUGGAAAACUUGGUUCCAUUAGGCAACAUAAAGUUGGCCAUACCAGUUCCUUCAAUCACGUCUACAGGACCUGAUAUUGUAUUGACAAUCAUGUUUGUCGGUUUUAAGUUAGAGAAAUAUCUUUUGUCCUUUAGAAUAGUGUGUGUUGUCCCACUAUCUGGUAUGCAAAUUUCUUGAGCCAUUUCCUUGGAGAUUGUUUCAUCCAUUUCUGUGAUUAAGAUAAACAUCAAUAAAAAGAAAGUAAAUUUUAUUCAUAAAAGGAAAACACACAAUAAUUAUACAUUAAAUUGUUGUUAAAACAACAUUAUUUUUUUUAAAAUAACAAAAGCAUAAUAUUAUAUAUAUGACAUAACUAGAGACUAUUUCAGCAGUCUCAAUACAAGCUCUUUAGUUAACCGCAAGAGCGGUCUAAUCCAAAUCAUUUGCAAAGGAGGGAGAAUCGAGAUACGAUGUAUCCUCGAAGUUUUCUGCUAAAUUGACUUCUUUCCCUUUUCCUUUCGUGGAAUUCAUGUACAACUUACAAAGAUGUGGAGGAGUUCGACAAGUACGGGCCCAAUAUCCCUUAGAUCCACAUCUAUAACACACAUUCUCACUCUUCUGGGUGGAAUUUUCUUGGUGUUCCUUCCCUUUUGAAUCAUUUUGAGGACGAACCCAUUUGAACGACCCCCUUCCACGUGAGUUGUAAUUUCUUCCACGCCCAUGAUUAAAACGACCACCACGACCCCGAUAUGAUUGAUUCCCUUUCUCAGGAUAGUUUACAUCCUUUUUCUCUGGAUUUUUUACAUCCGUUGCAUUCACUUCAGGGAAUGCUUUGGUUCCUGCAGGCCGAGCAUUGUGGUUUUUGAUGAGAAGUUCAUUAUUCUUCUCUGCUAUCAUAAGCGCCACAAUCAGCUCGGAAAACAUUUUGUACUUGCAGUUCCUGUAUUGUUCUGCAAGAACAUAGUGCUCCUUAUGGAAUGUAAGGUAGGUUUUAUUGAGCAUUUCGUCUUCGCUCACUUUCUUACCACAGUAUUCCAAUUGAGCCACGAUUCUUAACAUGGUAGAAUUAUACUGUGCUACCUUGUUAAAAUCUAGGAACCUCAAAUUUGCCCAUUCGUCAAGGGCAUGUGGGAGAGUUAUUGCUUUCUGGUUGUCAAACCUAUUUUUUAAAGCUUUCGACAACUCCACGGGGUCUUUUACAUUUGCAUAAUCAUGCAUCAGAUUUUCAUCUAGAUGCUUUCUUAGAAAAAUUAUCGCCUUUGCCUUUUCAUUGGCAGGUGAUUCAUUUUUCUCUUUUAUCGUCUCUAAUAGAUUCUGCGAAUCUAAAUGAAGUUCCACAUCAGUGGUCCAUGCUAUGUAAUUUGCUCCAGUGAUUUGAAGAGCUUGGAUCUUAAGCUUUUCAAUGUUUGCCAUUUGUUUUCUAAAAAUAAAAACAUAGAAUAUUAUUAGAAAUCUUUAUUUAAUUUAUUUUAAAAUAUAUUUAAAAUGAACCGUUUACAUUAAUAAUGCAAGCGAUUACAAAAAGAAAAAGCGUACAAACAAGUAAACUAAUAGUCAAACGAAAUUCUUGCGGAGUAAAAUCUACAACACAAAGAUUAUAGAUACACAUAAUAAUGAUUCCAAAAACAAAUAUUAAAAAUAAUCGAAACAUUCUUCAAAACUUCAAAACUUCAAAAUUCUUCUUCUUUUUUCGGAGAGAUUUUUUUUAGAGAGAUGAAAAAAUUUUGUUUUGAUGAAAUGAAUGAGAAAAUGAAUGAAUUUAUAGAUUGAAAAAUACUAUUCCUAGCCGUUGGAAAAAGUUGAAUUUUUUGAAAAAAUUUUGAAAUUUUUCUUUGAGACCGUUGGCGGAAAAAGAUUUAAACAAAAAAAUUAAUCUGAAAAAUUAGAGAUCAAUAAGAUAAAAAUUAUCGAUUCAGAUAAAAAUAUUUAUACAGGUGAAUAAACCAUAAUAUAAACAAAUAAUUCACAGUGAUAUUAUGGUGACGAAUUAUCCACAUAGAAACAGUAAAUAUAUAUGUGGCGGCUCAGCCGACCGGUAGUAGAAAUAAAUAUUUAAAGCAGUGCAUAAAACUAAGGCGGCUCAGCCGACCGGCAACAGAAAUAAAUAUCUAAAGCAGUACAUAAAAUUAAGGCGGCUCAGCCGACCGGUAGCAGAAAUAAAUAUUUAAAGCAGUGAAUAAAAUUUCAGGUGGCUCAGCCAACCAUUAACAGAAAAUAAUUAAUUAUGGUGCAUGAAGUAAUUUCAGGUGGCUCAGCCAACCAUAUAGUUUCUUUUAUUUAUUUAUAUAAUUUUCUUUUCUCUUUUUUUUUUCUCAUAUUUUUUCUUUUAACGAGGCGACAUACUGGCCGGUAUAUUACCGUAUUUUUUUUUCAGCGAUCAUAGAAUGAUCGUGCUGAUAACGUGUUAUAAUAAUUACUUUAUUAUAUGGUGUAUAUAAAUAUAAAUAAUGGAGAAAGAAUUAUACCCGUAGAAGGAUCGGGAUACUGAAAAUAAAGAGAUGAGAGGAGGAGAGAGAGUUCUUAUAACUUCUUAUUGUUGAAGUAUGAAAUGUGAUUUACAACGAACGAAUUCGUUCGUUUAUAUAGGCAGGAAAAAGUAAGUUACUAUGCAUGCAUAGUGACGGUGGGCUCCACAUAAAUUAUAUUUUAAUCUUAAUCUUUUGAACGCGUAGUGUCUAUUGUUGACGCUGUAUUUUUCUGACUUUUGUAACAGAAAGGACUUUCAGGAUUUAUUAGAAUUAUAUUUUGGGAUUAGCUCUCGCGACGAUGGCUAAAAGAAGAAGUUUUGAUCGAAUAAACCCCUCAAAGCCACAUGUCAUCAACACAUGUAUGAUGAGCACCGAAAGAUUACCAUUCGUCAUCAUUUGCCGUCGAAACCUUCGAUUUUUUUUUUUUUCAACUCAAAAAAGUCAUUUCUCAAAAAUGUUGUUACGAUGCGAUACAAACUUUUCGUGUCAAGUUAUCCGCUUUUAUUUUUGUACUUCGAGGGAUUAGUGAUAAUUUAAAAUUUGAAAAUUCCUCCUUGUCGCUCUUAAAAUCUUCCAAAUAUACUGAAAAGGCCGGCCAUUCGGUUGACGAAGACACCAUCUUCACCAGGUCUGAACAGUCUGUAUAAAAAAACUACAUAUUGGUUGUCGGUGCCAAUCAUACACUUCAUCACCCAGAGACGAGCUUCCACUUCUUUAUGUAGUGGAAAAAGACUUCUUCAGAUGUUGGCAGCUCCCAUGGUUGGCGUCUCUCCAUGUCGGAACCUUCGAUUCUUUAGGUAAAUGAAAUUCAUUUGUUUUUCACCGGCAAUUAAAAAACAGCAUCAUGAAUAAAUUAAAUACAGAUCAAUAAAACUCAAAAAGUUGCUAAACUCAUAAAAAAAAAAAUUGAGAUCCAGCAAAACGGUAAAAGUAAAUGAAAUUAAGCGGCACAUUAUUUGGGUUUCUUUUGGGCUUUAGUUUAUUUUCGUAAUCCAUUUUAUAUUGUUAGAGCACCUCCAAUGGGAGGUUCUCUUCUAUAUUUUGAUAAGUUCUCAUCUGAUUUUGGAAAAAAUAAUAAUUCAAAACUGAAUAAAGAUGAGAGAAUCGAUUCUCUUGAGGGAGUUUUGAGAUUUUGAGAGAGCCGGACACGUGUCAGUGUUCGAUUGGAGGGAGUGUUUUAACAAAAGAAAAAAAAACACUCAAUUUUUUUAGUUCUCUCUCUCGUAAAAAAAAACACUCUCUCUCUCUCUCGUUAUCGCAACUGCGAAAAAAAAACUGAUGAACAAACCUCAGAAACAUCGCGAUUUCCUGAGAUUCCGAUGAGUCGACACCGGAAUCGUGGUUUGUGAGACUUACCUGCCGCCGGGAUCAUCAGCUGGAUUCACGGUAAAGACCAUCGGCGAAUGGAGUCAAAACAAAUCGAAGAUUGGCGAUGGAGAAGAAGGAUUCGUUGAAGGAUGGUCCAAUUUCUUGUUCCAGGUAUGAAUCUAGCCCGUUUCCCAUGUGUAUCGUGACUUAGUUCGUUGUAUUUUGUGGUCUCGAUAGAAAUUAGGGUUUGAACAAAAUUAGAGUUUUGAUUUGUAAAUUAGGGUUCUUCAUUUUUAGCGACAAUAGGGUGAUUAUUAAUCAAUUUGGAGGCUUUUUGUUUGUAAAUUUUCCAUGAUUGUUGACGAAUUUGUCAUAGAUUGUUUGAUUUAGGGUUCAUAGUUUCGGAGAAAAAAAUUAUAAUUUGGUUUUGUCAUUUGAGAAUUAUUUGGGGGCAUUGAAUAGCUUAGGGAGAGUUCUACAAUUCAACUUAGGCUAUUUUGGUUUCUGGGUUCUUUUUUAUUUUGCACCAUGUCUUGUUCCUUGAUCGGAUUCUGAUUUUAACAGAUUAUGCUUUGCAAGCUAGUUGAGUCUUGAGAUCUAAUAGAGUAGUUUAUUGAAAGAAGAGAUAGAAUUCCAUAAAUGGUUGUCUCUGUUUUCAUAUGAUUUUGUCCUAUAAAUGGUUGUUGUCUUGUAACCAAAAUUUAUUGAAAGAAGUGAUAAAGUUUUGUGAAUACCUUUAGGUCUUGUGGAUUAUUUGGAUUUGUGACAUUGUUCUCUUUGUUUUGAUUGCUUAGUUCUAUUGUGCAUCUAGAGACUUUGUGACCCUUGUUCUAAUCAAAGACAGUCAAUUUUAAAUAUUCUAGGAUUUUUGUUACCAAUGUUGAGAUGGAUCUUUGUGGAGAUAGCUUGAUGCACCUACAGCUAGUAUCCCAUUGGCGCUUCAGAGUUUGUUUUACAAGCUUCAGUGUAACGACAUUGGCGCUGACAAAGUCGUUUGGUUGGGAUACAUAUGAUUCUUUGUUCUCUUUAAUGCUUUGUAUCACUCACUCUCUUAAACACAAGCACAAAAAUAACCUUGCUCUCUCAUCCUCUCAAGUCUUUGGUUAGUUUCUUGUUUUAUCACAAAGAUAUAAACGUUUUAGUUAGAGAGAAGAGAGAAAAUAUUAAUUGUCUACAUUUUGUUUAUUGGAUCACAAGAUAAUUCUUACAAGACACAACACACACAUACUUACACUACAUCUUUUACUUGCACCUCACAUGAACCCAUACUUUAAACCAUACUUCCAUGAAUACAAGUACCAAUCACCUCCCAUGAAUCAAAGAAAACAUCAAUUAAAAAUGGAAGCUUAAGAUUGAUUGAAGAUUCUUGUUCCACCAAUGACCCGUGUUAAACCCUUGUGUUUAAACCUUUGUGCAAUAAUUAUUGAGUUUUAUGAAAUAAAAUAUUUUUUAAAAAAACAUCAAUAUUUUUUAAAAAACAAAACCUUUUUUUUUGCACAUCUUUUUAAAAAUGUUUGAAAUAAUGUAUGUUUAAUAUUUUCUGAAAUGUAAUAAUUAUUAAGUUUUAUGAAAAAAUAUUUUAAUUAUUUUUUUUUCUAAGAGAACCUCACUAGAGAACCUACCAUUGGACUACAGAAUUUUUUAAAAAAAAAUAAAAGUUCUCAUCUCACAUUUUCAAAAAAUUUAUAAUAAAAAACUUGAGAGAGACUCAUGGAGAGAGCUCCCCAUUAGAGAUGCUCUUAGAGCUUUUCUUUCGGCCAUGUUUGUAAUGUUCCCAUUAAUAAAAUAUAAUCUUGCGAGCAAAAAAAGAUAUUUUGUGAAUUCAAAAUAUAUUUUAGGAACUAUUUCCUAGACUUAGGUUAAGCAUUUUAUCCACAGGAAUAAGACGUUUUUGCCCUAAUUGGUCGACAUUUUGGCUGCUUGAAUUAUAGCUUAUGAUGAGCGACCGCUUGUACCUUCGCAUAACUUUGGUGGUUUAUAGUUUUGAUAAUUGGUUUCUCUAAACUAUUUUUAUGUGUUGUUUUCAAAUAUAUGAGUUUUCUAUAAAACCAUAAACUGAAAACAGUAGUACAAACUUACAGGAACUUUAAAUUUUAAAUGUUAAAUCAAAAUCUCUAAAUUUUAGAUAUUACUCUUUGUUUCAUUAAAACUCAAAAUGAUUUUUAAUAUGAAACUGGUAUUCAUUUUACUUUUUCUUAUAUACUCUUUCUGUUUCACAAAAAGUGACAUUUUGAUACAUUUUAAGACAUGAAUUAAAUAUACAAAUAUACACUUAUUUAAUAUACCCCUAAUAAUUUAAAUACAAAAGAUGUAGUUUUGGAUAAAAGUAGAAAUUAGUUACAAAAAUUGCAUUGAAAAUGUAAAACGUCAUUUUCUUUUAAACAAAGAAAUAACUCUAGAACGACACUCUUUGUGAAAGGGAGGGUAUAAUCUAAUGAAAUAUAUCAUAAAUAACAAAGCACAAACUCAAUAUUUUUUUUUAUUUUGUUAUACAUAUACAGUAAAACCUCUAUAAAUUGAUAAUGUUGGAACCGAGAAAUUCUAUUAAUUUAUAGAGGUAUUAAUUUAUCGAUAAAUUAAUAAUUAUCAAUUUAUAGAGAGAUUUUACUAAUUUUAUAAAAAAAAAUUAUAAAUCUACCUGAAAAGCAGUUUUUUCUUUAUAAUCAAUUUCUUUCCGAAACCAAUUACAAGUAGAAAAUCAAUCAUUAAGUUUAAAAGACAACACAAACUUUUUCGAGGUGGUAAAAAUAUUAAAAUUAAACUCUACCAAAAAUUAAUACAAAUUUAAGAAAAACAAACAAUACUAGAGUCAUAUUUCAAUAAAAAUUUUAAAUAUUAUAUAUAUAUAUAUAUAUAUAUAUAUAUAUAUAUAUUGAUAAAUUUAUAUAAUUAUUAAUUUAUAAUAUUGAUGGGACCAUAUGUUUACAUAGGAUUUUUAAAAAAAUUAUUAUCUUAUUAAUUUAUCGAUUUAUGUUAUUUUUUACACUGGUCCCAAUUCGGGACCGGACGAAAUUAUUAAUUUAGAGAGAUUAUUAAUUUAUCGAGUAUUUAUUUAUAGAAGUUUUACUGUAUAUAUAUAUAUAUAUAUAUAAGCAUUUAUUUAUUUUAUCCUAAAAUAUAAAUAUCGAUCGCAAAAUAUAAAUAUCCUAAAAUAUAAAUAUCCAAUUAAACAGUUCCAGAUUCUUUAUUCGCAAAAGUGUUUAAAGGACGGUAUUUUAGGAAAUCCAAUCCUUUGGAAAAUAUAAAAUCAUAUUACCCAUCAUAUGGAUGGCGAAGUAUAUGUUCAGCUAGAUCUUUGGUUAAUAAAGGACUCAUUAAAAGAGUCGGAUCUGGGACAUCCAUCUCGGUGUGGGAGGAUCCCUGGAUUCCAGCUCAAUUCCCGAGACCAGCAAAAAGUAAUGGUUCAGUUGCUGACCCAUCUUUAAAAGUUAAAGACCUUAUAGAUAGUCGAUCAAACUUUUGGAAUAUUGAUCUCUUAAAAGCGAUCUUUAAUCCAGAAGAUGUCGCUCUAAUAAGCGCCAUACCUAAGGGUGCGCCAACAAAAGAAGAUUCUUUGGAUUGGCAUUUUACAAAAUCCGGAAAAUAUACAGUCAAAUCGGGAUAUCAUUCUGCACGGAUGGAGAAGUCGGAGACCAAUUCAAACUAUUUUGGCCCUAACAUCAACCCAUUAAAAGCAUAUUCUUGGCAAGUGCAGUGUCCACCUAAGAUACGCCAUUUCAUAUGGCAAAUCUUAACGGGAUGUGUACCGGUUACGGAAAAUUUACGGAAAAGAGGAAUUGCUUGUGACAGGGGAUGUGCCAGAUGUGGGGCAUCAGAGGAAACGAUCAAUCAUACACUCUUUCAGUGCCACCCGGCACGGCAGAUUUGGGCAUUGUCACAGAUUCCUACGGCUAUGGGGAUUUUCCCCACGGAAUCUAAUUUUACGAAUUUGGAUCACUUAUUUUGGAGAAUACCUACAGAAUUUGAUUCAUCGGCCUUCCCAUGGAUUAUUUGGUAUAUUUGGAAAGCAAGGAAUGAAAAGAUCUUUGAAAACAUAGAUACAGACCCAGCAGAAGUAUUACGAUUAGCGGAAAAAGAGGCACAAUUGUGGCAGUCAGCUCAAAUUGAGCUCCAUAAUGAGAAUCAUGGUUCUGUGAACUUGGUAAAUCAAGAUCGAGUGAGAGCUAUUUCACUUGAGACGGAGUAUUCGGGAUACCGUUGUUUUGUGGAUGGAUCAUGGAAAGAAAGUGAUAAGUUCUCCGGUACAGGCUGGUUUUGUACAUCGUCAAAUGGAGAGCCGCCAACCAUGGGAGCUGCGAACCUCCGUAGAAGUCUUUCUCCACUACAUGCCGAAGUCGAGGCCCUUCUCUGGGCAAUGAAGUGCGAAGUCUUUCUCCACUACAUGCCGAAGUCGAGGCCCUUCUCUGGGCAAUGAAGUGCAUGAUUGGUGCAGAUAAUCAGGAGGUAGCGUUCUUUACAGACUGUUCAGACCUGGUGAAGAUGGUGUCUUCUCCAACCGAAUGGCCGGCGUUUUCAGUGUAUUUGGAGGAAUUUCAGAGCGACAAGGAGGAGUUUUCAUCUUUUUCUUUAUCUUUAAUUUUUCGUAGGGCUAAUGUUAAGGCAGAUAAUCUGGCACGAAAUGUUCGUACAAAACCGUUUCAUAUCACCUAUAUAAACAACAUUCCUCAGGAAUGACUCUUUUGAGCUCUAAUUAAUUACGGAUGAAAAAAAAAAAAAAAAAAAAGACUAGACCAGUCUCUUGCUCAACGGUAUUUUCACCAACCAUUACAAAAAAAAAUCGCCGUCAAACGUUGGUGUUCUUAUUAACCCACGUGUUAAUCACACCAACUACCAAAAAUAUUCAGAAUCCAAAUUUCUUGAUUUGCUUCUAUAAAAACUUUUGUUUGACCAUCAAUUACAAAACCCAUUUGAAUUUUUCCUUCUCGUGUGUGUUUAGUUUUGGUUUCUCCUUCAAAGUUUGAAACUUUUUUUUUCCGGCAAUGGAGGGACUAGUUCCGGUACAGAGACUUCCGGUUAGAGUGGCUUCACCUUCUCUGUAUCGGUGUAACAAUUCUAUCUCAAUCAGACGUUCAAUUUCAGGUUUUGCCAUGGACAGGAAGAUAAACUUUAGGGCUCCGCCGCAAUUCUCGAUCCGAGCUCAACAGGUACGGCCAAAGUUCUCCCAUUUUUGAUUCUUCUGUCUAUGAUUGAUGAUUUCUAACAACACCCUUAAAUAAAGUUCAAGUCUUUCGUUUGAUUCUUAAUGAUUUGUCACAUUUUAUGUUGUCUAAACCCUAGCUGGAUCAAAUUGGGAUUUUCUAAUUCUAAUUCUAUCAAUUUGUUGCUGAAAGUGUUUGCCUUUUUUUGUUUUGGAUAGUCGGAUUUGAAGGAAAGCUUAGCUGUGUCUUCUUCAUCAGUAGAGGAUAAAGGAAAUGCUCUUAGAAUCAAGGAAUGGGAAGUGGAGAUGUAUCAGGAGGAAUUAGCCAUUAGUCAAGGUAUUAGGAUAAGGAGAAAACCACCGAGUAAGGCUCCUUUGGGAUACUCUGGACCAUUUGAGUUGAGGUUGCAUAAUGAUGAUGCUGAUUCUCCCCGUAAUAUCUUGGAGGAGAUUACAUGGUACAAAGACGAAGAAGUUUCGCGGGUAAAGACUUUCUCCUUAGAAUGUGUUUGUUUAUCCGAAGGUCUGUGACUUAAUGGUUGUUUUUUCACUUUUCAGAUGAAGGAACUAAACUCGCUUGACGCGCUGAAGAAAGCUGUAGAGGAUGCUCCUCCGACUAGGGAUUUUGUGGGGGCGCUUAGGAUGGCUCAUAAAAGAACUGGGUUCCCUGGGUUGAUCGCUGAGGUUAAGAAGGCUUCUCCAAGUAGAGGAAUCUUAAAAGAAAAUUUUGACCCGGUAUGUGAUGCUGGUUUCUGUUUCUUUCUGUAAUGACAUUAGAUCGUGUUCUUGAAUUGAGUUAGUGGACUCUGAUUAAGCGAGUAAAGGUUGAUUCUUCAAUGGAUAAAAGAUUGGAACAUUGAGCAUUGUAGUCUUUGGCUUUGGGUAGUAGAUCAACAUUUUUCUUUUUUCUUGUGAACGGUUCCCAAUAUGAUUUGCUAUUGUUCUUUUAUCUAGACCUGCAAGGUCUUCAUGAUUCCUAUGGCUGUGUUACUAAUGCAUAUCGUCUUACAGGUCGAGAUUGCUCAAGCUUAUGAAAAAGGUGGAGCAGCAUGCCUCAGCGUUUUGACAGACCAGAAGUAUUUCCAGGUUCACUUGUGUAUUCAGUUGCAGAUAUCUUAUUCACAUUUGUAACAAGUUUUUAACAUGUAUAAUUUUUAUCUUGAUGUUGUUCAACAGGGAGGCUUUGAAAACUUGGAAGCAAUUAGGAGCGCUGGUGUGAAGGUAUUUUCUUAGCAAAGACUGGUGUUUUUGCAGCUUUAUAUUCAAAAAACUUUGUGUAAGCCAUGCAUUUCAAUUAUUGCAGUGUCCACUAUUAUGCAAAGAGUUUGUUGUAGAUCCAUGGCAGAUCUACUAUGCCCGGACUAAAGGUGCAGAUGCAGUAUUGCUUAUUGCUGCUGUAUUGACUGACCUAGAAAUAACCUACUUGCUUAAGAUCUGCAAGAAGCUUAGUUUGGCUGCACUUGUUGAGGUCUUUUUUCCUGCUUUGAUUAUAGUUAAUCGGGUGACAAAUUAUUCACGUUGAAAGUUAGUAUUAUUUUUGUUUCACUCUUAAUAUUCUUGACUUUCAAUUAGGUACAUGAUGAGAGAGAGAUGGGUCGUGUGCUUGGAAUAGAAGGAAUCGAGCUUGUUGGCAUCAAUAACCGAAGCCUUGGUAAUAAAGCUUUUGUACAUAUCGCUAGUUCUGAUAUCUGUGGUCUUAGAAUGAGUUUAUGAGGAUGUGAGUUUUGUUGUGGAGAGUUUAGUUCAGUUGAGGAGUCUCACGAAUCUAAAAUGUUUGUGUUUCAGAAACAUUUGAAGUGGACAUCAGUAACACAAAGCAGCUUCUUGAAGGAGAGCAUGGUAGACAAAUCCGUGAGAGAGACAUGAUUGUAAGUACUUCCACUUUCCAUUCUUCAAUUGGUGUCUGUCAAUUGCUGGAACAUCAUCCUGAGUCCUGACCAUGAUGAUCCUGUUUUGUGGGUUUAAGGUGGUUGGCGAAUCUGGUCUGUUUACACCAGAUGACAUUGCCUAUGUACAAGCUGCCGGAGUAAAAGCGGUAAGCUUUCACAUCCAUCCAUCCAAACAUUUGGCUGCUUGAAACCUCUGCAAGCAUUCAUCAGAUAAUCGAUUCGCUGAAUUGCUGAUGUAUGAGCUUAUUCUAAUUUUACAGGUAUUGGUUGGUGAGUCCAUUGUGAAGCAGAACGACCCUGAGAAAGGAAUAGCUGGACUUUUUGGCAGGAACAUUUCUCAUACUUAGAAAACCGUAUCACCUAAUUUUACAUCUCCAAAUAUGUUUCCUAGUACAUUUGUUUGUAUCUUGCAUUGUGAGUAUUGAGGAAAGACUAGAAAGGCUUGUUGACUCUGAUGUUUCAGACAUUUUCAAAUACCGUCGAAUAAAGUGAAUCGAAUAUGAUUCAAGGUAGCUUCCAUGGAACCGAAAUCAACAGAGAGAUAGCAAUAUUACGUUGUCAUUAACUCACAGGUGAAGAAUACAACCCAUCACACCAAUACAUAGAAACGACGACAUUGUUGUUAUCUAAAUACAUUCAUCCUUGCACAACAACCAGAGUCACUAAACACACCACUCAAAACAUUUCUUACCAGAAUCCAAAAGUGACUGUCAUGGCUUCUCAGACAAGCUCCAGUCUUCUUGAUGCAGUAUGAUUUUAGAUAUAGAUAAACGACCUUCCAAGGCAAACACCUCUCCACUUAUUCUGCGCGUAUACAGCAAAACCAUUUUUUCUGCAAAUUAUGCAAGAAACAGCAUCAAUAAUACAUCUAUACUACGAUGAUUAAGAUACGAAGAAGAGAUGCUGCUGCUUACGGCGGGUUUCUCAAGAACUUCCCCAUUUUUAUUAUAUCCAGGUUCAUCUUUCCCUGGUGAGUCGGAUUUUCCACCUCCCUUUUUCUCGUUUCUAGCUUUGUUGAAGAUAACAGUAAAUCCCUCAGCUGAUGAAGGGUCAUUCACAUCCCAUUCGCCAAACUUUGGCAACGGGCGGCCCUUGUCCUACACACAAUCCAAACAUUUUAAGUCACCCGAUUGUCCAAGACGAUGAGUUCUAAAAGCCAACAACACUCACACAAAACAUCCAUUUCAAAAAAAAUGUCAUUAAUACUUAUAUUGAUUCUUUGCAAACCAAAAUACUCAAGGUUGUUGUCUUCUAUGAUUUAACAGUAUAAGAGCCUCUAUGUCCAACACAACAACACGUAACAAACAUAUAUUUAGGAAAAAGUUUCAGCAAAAGCAAGCUAUAUGCAAAGUAUUGAAAUCCAGAAGAUGAUAUGCAUAGACAACAACUAUGCAAUUUCUCAUUGUCCCUACUUACUUACUGUUCAAGAUCUUACCAAGACUUUCUCUUUGUCUAUUCACUAAUCUAGAAUUAGCCAACUAUAUGAGAGCAGAGUCAUUAUGAAAGAUUAACAAACCAAUUUUAUCUCAACACCAAAAUCUUGAAACUAAAAGAAUAGAAGAAACUGCAGAGAUAACAAAUCUUUGAUUUUUUCCAACAGUAACUACAAAUCUAUACAAAAGAUUAAACUUUUGUAAGAUCAAGACAAGAAAGCUCCAUUUUCAACAAGCAAAAACCAUUAUUACAGAAUCCAAGAGUCAAAAAAACUCGCAGACGAAUAAAUCCAAAUAAAUAAAGGACCACAAGAAAUGAUAAAUCUCAAAGCAAAUCCAGAUGAACAAUCAGAAGAAAAAGCAUCAAACUUUAACAAUUUCACACAAAAAAAAAAAACAAGAAAUCACAUAAACAUCAAAAUCAAUAGAUGAAGAGACCAAAAACAGAAGAAACAAGAAAUCUCAAGAUUCAUAGAUUAAACAAUAUGGAGACAAAAGAGAGGGAGGGAGAGAGAUCGUACUGCCAUGGAUUAAGGAAGAGCUGAGAUGCGUUGUGGUGGUGGUCGUCUCCUUCCUCUGGGAGGUUUCCUCCUUUCAGCUUUUGUUUUAUCUUUUUUGGUGAAAUUUUUGGGGAUUAGGCGAAAAAGAAGGAGCCAUGGAUUCUUGGGCCUUAAUGGGCCCAUUAUGUCUUUUUUUUUUGCUAUUUUGAUUUGAACGUUUCAACAGUGAAGUAAACCAUUCUUUUAUCUCACUCUCGUCUCGCCGUUUUUUUAUAUCCCAAACUCGGUUAUUAUUAUUUUUUUUUAAUCUCAAAAUCCGAAAUAACCGGUUAACCAAAAUAACCGACCGGUUCGUUGAGGUUUAUCUGAAAAAUCGCUGGCCCAGUUAUAAUGAACGGAUUUACUUGUUAAAAAUCUUGUUGGACGGAUCGAAUCGAUCCGAACCGAAUUGAUCUGAACCGAAUCGAUUGUUAGACGGACCGAAUUUAGAAUUCUAUUUAAAUCUAGUGUUAUUAAAUUUAUUGGUGUUAGAGUUCUAUUAAAUUAAUUUCUACUGUUAUUCAAUUUAUUGGUUUUAGAAUUCUCUUAAAUUUUUACUGUUAUCCAAUAUUAAAAUUGUUUUUAAUGCCAAUGUGAUUUGAUUAGAAUUUAAUAGAAAUCAAAAGAAAAAAAACUUGAAGAAACAAAUCUCACAUUUUAUGGUGUGAUUUAGAUAGAAUUUUUCAAAUUCUUUAAUUCUUUUAUUUUUCUAUUCAUUUUAAUUUUAAAAAAAAAUCAGUUAUCGAAUACACCCUCCUUUAGAGGUGUAUCCAAUCAAGUAUGUUCAGUGAUUUUUGUUAUUAUGUUUCUAGUAAAAUAAUUUGAAAGCAUAUGGUCUAAAGAAAAUAUUUUGGGAGAAGUAGUGAUGAAGUGUUUUAAGGUUUAGAAUGAAAAUUUGGUGAUGGUCAUUUAUGUCUAAAUUGGGUAGAAGAAAGGUGAGCAUGUUUGGCACAAAAGAGAAUACAUUUGAUGGAGAUUGUAGUGAGAAAAAGUAAUGAUAAUGGAUUUACAAUUUGAUUUGCGUAGAACUUGGAUGCAAUAUUGUGAAUCAUCAUGUAAUAUAUUUUUAUUCAUAUAUUGAGGGUAAAGAUGACAUGAAAUAUUAUUAAGGACUAGAAAUAGGAGAACCAUCUUGAGAACUGGCUAGACAACAACAUUCAACUCCACCUUUCCGGUAUCCUAAUCCUAGACAUUUCCCUUCUUCGUACCCUUCAUCUAUGCAUGUUUCAUUGCAUUCAUGUGUACUAUAACAUUUCAUUCCACACUGUUUGAUUUCUCUUAUCUUGUUGAUCAUUUCUCCUGUUUGAUUCAUGAACAAAGAUAUCAACAAUGUAAAAAUGGUCAAUAGAACAUUUUAAGAUUGGGUCUAGUUAUUAGACUCAAAUGGUAAUAAUAUCCAAUUUUCUUAAGAUAAUCUAUGAAUAAUAUGAGAUAAUUUGUUAUAAACAGAUAAAUGUUUUACCUGAAAUCAUGGGAAUAAAGAUGAAAGUCGAAAUCAUCAACGAAAGUAAUAUAAGAGAUGAAAUUUGUUUGAUGGCCAUUAGAUAUAUUUCUAGAGAAUACACUAAUUUUUUUCAGAAAAUAUUGUUAGAUCUCACAAGAAAGUGAAACCUAUAAAAGUAAAAUUCAAAAUCAGUGUAGAGUUAAUAAAUUUUGAAAUAAGAGGAACAUCUCUUAUCUUCUUCAAUAGAAAAUAUUCAACAUUUUCGACGAAGUUUAAUAGUAUAUUUAGGAUUAACCUUUUUUUUGGUCAAAAUAUUGAUGAUUUAUCUUUUGGCUUUAUGAUAUUUCUAUGAUCUAUUUUAAUGGCUUUGACUAGAACUGAAUAAAUUAACAUCAUAUGAACCAUUCAAACUUACUUUAAUAGAUCUUCCAUAAUAUUAAAGAAUUUAUCUGGAAUCUUUCUUGAUAUAUAUUUUAAUAUAUCUUCCAUACCAUAUGGUAAAUAAUAUAUAAUGAGUUUUUCAUAGCAAAUAUUUUGUUUAAUAGUUUUUUUUACAUGAUAAUUUUAGUCAUAUGGUUUCAUCAUUUAUUUGUGUUCCCCUUCGGUAUUAUUUUUUAUUUUUUUUAAAAAAGUAGAAUUCCCAAAAUACCACUUUUAUGAUAUACUUGUUUUUGGUCCAUUUUCAAAAAUACCACAAAAUAUGAAUUUAUAAAAAACAAUCAUAUACUUCUACAGCGUACGUUAUAAACAAUGUUUAAAAAGUUUUAUAAAAUGUUAAUAAGGUUUCAUAGGAUUUUUGAACAACUUUUCUCUUUAUAAUAUUUUUGAAAUAUGAUAUCAUAAAGAGUGAAUUUGUGCAGAGGUAAAAACCGGACAUCUAAUUAGCUAAUCGGUAAUAGGCGACUUCGUCCCAGACAAACAAAAAAUCAAGCGUUACUAAUAGCCUUCAACUUUAAAAGAAUUACAGAAAAAUCAAUUAGUUACAGACUCCAUGCGCGUGUGAUAGCGCCAUUGACUUUUGGGGAGGGAAAAAAAUGAAAUGACAGUUAUUAAAUGCUCUGUUGUAUAAGUGAUAUUUACGCAGCCAUAGAAAGAAGGAGAAGACUUGUAUUAAAUUCAAACUGACGGACUGUCUUCGAAUCCCUUAAUUUUGAAUCUAUAACCCAACUUGUUGAGCGAGAAUUUGAAAUUACUACUAACCUAAUGGAAUAGACACCCAAUAAUUAGGCAUGCAGCUGUGUUGCCAAAAAGUAUACAUGCAGACACAUAUAUAAAGCGUUAAAAAUAAUUAUAGUGUUAAGUUAUUGGAUCUAUGUAUAUAUGUAAAUAGAUAUAUAUAUAUAUAUAUAGAGAGAGAGAGAGAGAGAGCGUUAUUAAUAUUUGUAUACAUAUAAACAUGUUUAAACAUGUACAUUAAACAUUGUAAAGCUUUCAUAACAGUUUUGAUUGUAUUGAGCUUGAAGUACACUAUGAGACGACCACCAGCAGGUUCUUCUAUGUCGGCAAAUAAAUGAGAAGGAAGCUCCAUAUCAGCCAUCCUGCAAAAAAUUAGAUCUACGAAGGGGAGAUGACAACAUGCAAGUUAAAAAUGGAGAUCCACAGGAAAUUAUGAGUGUCUAUAUGUAGGUCUAAGUAAAAUAAGUAGAGAUACAAGUGGAUCUGCAGAGGCCUAACAGAAAAGUUAGAGUUUAAGAUUGGAAAACAAAAGUCGAAAUUAGAGUGAAACAAUUGAAACGACGGGUGGUAAGAUCAGAAAAACAAAAGAAAUCGAGAAACAAAACUUCGUGUAAAUUCUACCCUCCGGCUUACCGAAUUAGAGAGGAAGACGCUUUGAGACAGCGACUUAAUAGUGACAACGGCGGGAAUUAUGUACUUCGCUGGAGCAAAAAUAAGUUCUCGAAGACGAAGAUGAGAAGACGAUGAGACUAAGAGAAAGGUUUUGAGAGAGAGAAAAUA
RNAcentral lists this long non-coding RNA (29077 nucleotides) under Arabidopsis lyrata. RNAcentral describes it as "long non-coding RNA (ALYR_LNC002440)". Lineage: Eukaryota; Viridiplantae; Streptophyta; Magnoliopsida; Brassicales; Brassicaceae. The record is from RNAcentral.